ACGGGAGGCAGCAGUGAGGAAUAUUGGUCAAUGGGCGGAAGCCUGAACCAGCCAAGUCGCGUGAAGGAUGAAGGUAUUAUGUAUUGUAAACUUCUUUAGACGCAGAGAAAUAAGAGGCUCGUGAGUCUUGAUGCUAGUAUGCGUAGAAUAAGGAUCGGCUAACUCCGUGCCAGCAGCCGCGGUAAUACGGAGGAUCCGAGCGUUAUCCGGAUUUACUGGGUGUAAAGGGCGUGUAGGCGGAGCUGCAAGUCAGAUGUGAAAUCCCGGGGCUCAACCCCGGAACUGCAUUUGAAACUGUAGCCCUUGAGUAUCGGAGAGGCAAGCGGAAUUCCUAGUGUAGCGGUGAAAUGCGUAGAUAUUAGGAGGAACACCAGUGGCGAAGGCGGCUUGCUGGACGACAACUGACGCUGAGGCGCGAAAGCGUGGGGAGCAAACAGGAUUAGAUACCCUGGUA
The sequence is a ribosomal RNA, 454 nucleotides long. It matches the Rfam family "Bacterial small subunit ribosomal RNA", at positions 341 to 792 of the family's 1533-position model.